Molecule: ribosomal RNA, 329 nt
Filed under: uncultured eukaryote
Lineage: Eukaryota
Description: partial 18S ribosomal RNA
Rfam family: Eukaryotic small subunit ribosomal RNA
Source: RNAcentral
CCCUUAGAUGUUCUGGGCCGCACGCGCGCUACACUGAUGCAGUCAACGAGUUUACAACCUUGGCUGAAAGGCCUGGGUAAUCUUUUAAAACUGCAUCGUGCUGGGGAUAGAUGAUUGCAAUUAUUCAUCUUCAACGAGGAAUUCCUAGUAAACGCAAGUCAUCAGCUUGCAUUGAUUACGUCCCUGUCCUUUGUACACACCGCCCGUCGCACCUACCGAUUGAAUGGUCCGGUGAAAUCUUCGGACCGUGGCAAUGUCGCCGUUCGCGGGGACGCUGCCGUGGGAAGUUGCUUAAAUCUUACCAUUUAGAGGAAGGUGAAGUCGUANCA